GACUAUUGGGCCUCAAGUUAAGAAGCAGGCAAAGAGUAACAUACUUCAAAUAAACUUCUGCAGUUGGGAUGGGGGCCCAAGCACAAUGCUUACAGUCAGGACCCUAUCUGGAGGUGCAUGCCUUCCUACAAAGAGUGGGGCUUAGAAAAAUCUGGGAAAGAAGGAAAAUCUGUAGGAAACAUAGAAGAUUUGGAACUUGGUCCUGGCCACUUGAAAGCUGUUUUGGUUUGAAGCCAAAGCCCCUAGGGAGUGGGGGGAUAGUGGGGGUAGAGUGAAGGGGGAAGUAAAGAAAAGUGUAGAAGAUAAAAUUGUAGUAUAAAACCCCAACCCAGGGAAUUCAGUUUCGAGAACCAACAAAGAAGAAAAACGAAUUGCAAAGCUUAAGGGAUACAGAUUCAUUUCUUUGUGUUUUCUUGAGAGCUUGGGUAGUAUAUUUCUUUUAUUGUAAAAUGAAACACAAAAGUUUUCCGACAUUCUGAGGCAUGCGUCUAACAUUAGACACAGAUUUGACUUUAGAUAAAUGUCACACUCCAGUAAAGAGACUUUAAGAAUUACUCAGUAAUCAAACCAUGUGAAUUCAAUGGUCUACACGCUUGGAAUCUUAAGAAAUUGCUGAUGAUGACAUUGGCUGCCUCAGUUUUAGGAACUGCCAGAAAUAGCCACUAACCAAGAGAAAGAGAGCAAGGACUAGCCCUGAAUAAUUGGUCAACGAUGCUGAUUUCGUUGGUUUCCUGUUCCUUUUGCUUCCUGGAAAAUACAGACCUACAAAGCAAACAUUGUGUGUGGGUUGAUGCUACAGCAUCGUCUGAACUUGGAAGGAUGAUCAUGGAUUCUGAUGCCUCGUGGUCUCACUACAGAAUUCAACGCUAUCUUUAUUUGAAGUCUGUCCUGGUUAGCAAGCUGGCUGGUGGUGAUGUAUCACAUACCGUGGUUUCUGUGAUGUGGGCUGCUGACUAUGGAAAGAUGAAUGAAGAUCACAAUCACAUUAAGUUUGAGGACUAUGGUCAGACUUAAACCAUUAUCCUUGAGGUGUAUGGCUGUUGAUUUAUCAAUGUUCUCAUUUUUAUGAAGGAAAUCUUCUCAAGGUUGCUGUAUGCUCUGUGUGUGUUGUAUGUCAAAUAAGGUAUAAUGUUAUGUUCUCUCAUAACUUCAUAAAUAAGAAUGUAUUGCUUUGAGAGAUGGAAUAAAA
Molecule: long non-coding RNA, 1189 nt
Organism: Pan paniscus (pygmy chimpanzee)
Lineage: Eukaryota; Metazoa; Chordata; Mammalia; Primates; Hominidae
Source: Ensembl